CGCAGGAGCUGAGGACUGGGCUGCGGUGAGCUGCCGUUUCCUAACUAAAACGAUCACUUCCAGACCUUGAUACGUUUAGGGAAAUUCUCACUGGCAUCGUCUCCACCGAGGGGAGAACGUCAACAUGGACCAGGUCACAGCUUAGAUGCUUGGCAGGGUGUGCUGAGCUCCGGAACCUUCCCUGCAGGUGUGACAUUCCCCUCCCAAGACGGGCUGUGCGAAAACACUCAGGCCCAUCUGUUAACCUGCGCGGUGCCGGCUGGACGGACUCCUCAGGCCCUGCCCCAGCCCCGGCCACACGUAAGGGGCGAGAGGGGCUCUCCGGCGAGGCGGGAAACGCAGGCGUUUUGUUGAAUUUCACAUCUCCCUCCAAACCCACGGACACACGGCGUGUGCUGCACUGGCGUCAGAGCUGGAAAGCGGCACCUUCGUGGGGCGAGAGGGGGGCGCACCUGUCACACGCAGGAGGUGAGGGCCAGGCUCACCGCGGCCCGUCAGCGACUCCACAGGGGAGCCAGAGAGUGAAAACUUCGCCAAAACACUACGAUCUCAUGAUUUUGUUAUAAAACCAUGGCACCUGCUGCCAUUUCACGAGCACCCACCCUGUGUGGGCUCUUUAAGUGAAGUUUUUUUCUUUUGAUGUGUAUUUAUUUUUGAGAGGGGGAGGGGCAGAGAGAGAGACACAGAAUCCGAAGCAGCUCCUGGCUCUGUCAGCACAGAGCCCGACACGGGGCUCGAACUCACGAACCCAUGAACCGAGCUAUCACCUGGCCACGCGGAGCACCUGUUCUCAGACAUCCAGCCUCCGGAACGGUGAGAAGCGGCCGCAGUUGACAGUCCUGGGGCCGUGGCGCUCUGUUAGCCCUAGAGGAUGAGGACCUGGCUUUCUAGCUCCUUCCACGAGGCGAUGGGCUGCUCGGAGGAGCCGGCCAGUCUCUGCUGUUCUGUCACCUUCCGCCCAGAAGCCAGGCCCCUCGCACCCCCACCCUGCAGGAUCUGCCCCAGCCUGUGCUUUCCUGCACCUGUUGGGAGACUGCAAUUCCAGGUGCUCAUGAAGUACUGUAACUCCUUCUGUUCUUGUUCUUGUGCGGGGGGAAGGGGGUAUUUUUUUCUUUUCAGUUUUGUUGGGAUCUAUGUAAACCUCAGGUGUACGGCAUGACGUGAUCCGCGAACACACUGUGAAGUGAUCACCACGGGGUGAGCCAGCACGUCCAUCGCGUUGCUGAGUUGCUAUUUCUCUGUGUGCCGAGCACACGGAGGGUCCCCGUGGCCGCCGGGCUGCACGCUAGGUCCCCGGGACUCAUUUGUAUCCAAACGGACAUCUGUACCACUUGACCGUCGUUUCCCGUCCCCUCACCCCCCCACCCCCCGCAAAGUUCUGGGAGUUCGGCUCGUUUAGCUCCACGUGUAGGUGAGAACACGCAGCUCUUGUCUGGCUGGCUGGCUUCUCUCUCCCUCGAGCUCCAUCCACGUUGCGACAAAUGGCUGAUCUGCCAUUUGGGGUCUUCUGUGGUUCUGCAUGAACCUCGGGAUUGUUUUUCCAUUUCUAAGAAAAAUGCCCUUGGAGUUUUUCACAAGGACCUCGUUGAAUCUACGGAUGACUUUGGGAAGUGUGGACACAGUAACUAUAUUAAUCCUUCCCAUUCCCGAGCACAAGAGAUCUCGCCAUUUCCCCGUGUCCACUUCAAUGACUUUUAUCGAUGUCCCGUAAUUUUCAGUAUGCAGAUCUUUUACCACCUUGCUUAAAUUUACUCCGAAGUAUUUAUUUUUGAUGCUAUUGUGAAUAAGAUUGUCUAAAAAAAAUUUUGUUAAGCAGGAUCCAUGCCCAUUG
Long non-coding RNA from Suricata suricatta (meerkat), 1831 nucleotides. RefSeq lists it as uncharacterized. NCBI's taxonomy places the organism in Eukaryota, Metazoa, Chordata, Mammalia, Carnivora, Herpestidae. The record is from RefSeq and is a predicted model, not a curated record. The transcript is spliced from 3 exons.